GCCAAAGAUACGUGCGUGCACUGAGUGGAGUGCUGAAGUGUUGUGAGCCAUUGUUUUGCACAAAGGAAAAUCCAAGUGCUGUGCUGUACUUUCAGAUAUAGCCCAAGCAAUGCAAACUUAUGUGAAAAUGGAAGUCUUUGACAUUGUGGCAUGGGUGUGCCCAAACGGACUUCAGCGUACCUGCAAUUUCACUUCUUCCUGCAAAUGGAUUUGGAGCCCCAUUUUCACCUGUGCCAGCACAGCUGUGCUUCCAGUCAUGUGACAUAUCCUCAUCACAUGGACAAUAGAUGAAAGACUCGCACGGAGAACGCUGUGCAUUAGGAUUGGCAGAUAUCCUCUGGGAUCUGAGCAAAGAAGGACUGUUUGAGAUGUGCACUCUGUGCUUGUCAAAGAGAAAAAGGUUUGCAGGAGCCAGAGCCCAGCUGAAACCUGGAUGGAGCUCUGGGGAUCAGCUUCAGAGCGUGGUGUGGGCAGCCCUGCCUCUGCACCGAGCUCUGCCACCACACCCUGGUUCCUCUGCCGUCCUGUCUUUACCUCAGGAGCCCGAAAGUCCCGCCUCACCCUGCCUGUGCCCCAGGGACACCCAGGACCCCGGUGUGUGCCACCCCAGCUCUGCAGGGCCCAGGCUCCAGAGCUGCUGGAGGCAAGCAGGGAUUCCCCCCUCCGGUAACCCCACAGCACAUCUGCGCUAAGAACGAAAUCACACACUCAGUACGUGGGAAUAUUUUAUUUUGACUUUACAUGCGGUGUUAAAAACCCAAAGAACGUAUUAUUUACACAUCCACAAUACAAGUUUACAAGAUAUCUAUACAUGUUAAAGUACUCUAUAGUAAUAGAGCAGCUUCAUUUAAGGGUUACUUUUUUAUGCCGUACCAUUAAAAAAGAUACAAUCUGCGUUUACCUUUGCACAAAUGGAUAAAGCAUCUUUUAUUAUUAAAUUAACAGAAUAAGGACUAGGUUGAAUGUUAGAAAUUUCAACAUAAAUACUGAGAGAACUCACAUUACCAUCUACAAGGCAGCACAAUGUUACAGGAGGUUAUCAGGGUUCACAUACAUUUAUCUUCCGGGUCACACAAGUCUGUAUUAAUAUUUGUAAAGUGAAUUCGGAUCAGCUUGUGUCUUCUGACAACUGAGUACGUUUUAAUAGUUAUUAAUCUGUAGCGUUUUAGUUGCAAGACAGAAGUGUUUAGGAAGAAAGAUCAUUGAUUUUUGGAUCCAGAGGUCUCAGGAAAUAAAUGUCCCUUACAGCCUUACAAGAAAAAAAUGACUACUUCUAUCCUUUAUUCUUUGUUCUGUAACAGAGAUCCAGUUUUUAGUGACUAACCUUUUCUCCCUUUUAAACACAUAACAUAAAUCUCCACCGUCUCUGAAACCCAUUGCAGUUAUUUGUCCCACUAAUUCAUGAAUAUUCCUCUGCCAUGGUUAUUUCUAUAGUUAUGUUCAAUAAACAAUGUGGUAGUGUGUAGUUUGCAAGCUAAAAUAGCCAUCUGUGUUGAACAUCAGCUGCAAGUGGAUACUGUAAACCCUACUAAAUAGCUUACACAACUUUAGCAGGUGUUCCAUUACCCUAGAAACCUCAUUUGAUUUCACAUUAUAACUGUUUGAUCCUUCAGAGAGCUGGAGUGGAAUGUUUAUCAUGGUAAGGUGAUUUAAUGCUGCUGUCUUCUUGGAUUGUAGGCUGCCUUUAGUUACCAUUAAUUAUUCUUGCGUUUUAUCUUUUAUUUUUUUGGGUGCUGUUGAGAGGUUUUACAACUGGCACUCGGGAGAUAUGUGCUAUAGUGAGAACACUUGACAGAUUUAAUUUUUUUUUAGUACUUUUAUCAUUUGCAUGAAUAAGGCACAAAAUGCACAGAUUCAGGUAAACUCACACAUAAUAUUUACAGAAUAUUGUCAUUACCUGCAUGACUUUGGAAAAAAAAACAAACCUUACUUUACACAACAAAAACAAAUUGAUUGCACUACUGUUGAGUUUUCACAGAUUGCUUCUGCCAGGCCAAUUAAUGUUUCUCCUUUUUUAUUGACAAGAGUCUAUCAGUGUGUAGGGCGUUAUUAAAUGCAACAAAAACGUGACCUUCUCCAGUUACACAGGCAUUUGCCAGUGAACUGACCAUUAGCUGCCCUCAGCGAGUACAGGGGCUCAGGUUCACAGUGGCCAGGCAUUGGAUGGAGGCACUGUGGAAACACAGCAAAACUCCCCCGUUCCAGCCCAAAACACUAGAUUUGAAAUGCACAGCUCUGAAUAAUAGCAGCAUAACAGAGCGCUGGAGAGUUAGCCAGGUCUGCGCUCUGUGACUGGGUGACUCUGAUCCAGGCGUUCCCCUCAGAGGCUGUCAGAGAUGCGCAGUUCAUCCGGAGCUGGCUCCCAGCUGAACCCGGCGGGCUGCGGAAGGCAGAGUCAUCUGUUUGUUCAGUCAUGCUCAAUGUAAACAAUUCCAUAGCAUAAAAGAUGCAAUGGGAAUCUAAGUACAUCCUAGUGUGUACAGUACACACACACAUCCACGCACACGCACAGCUUUAUCUGUGGCAAAAACAAAAUGCCACACACAUGGAGAGAAAAAAAUAAUGCUACAGUUGGGCCAGAGACUUAAUUCCAGCAAAUUGAUUAACCCAGCUAUUCAUUGAGACAUUACCAUUUUCUGACAUUUGUGCAAGAGGCAAGGUGAAUGCAUACAUAGUAAAAUGUUCACAUUUAAUGGGAAUGACCACACUUAAUGGCAGUCUAAAAUGGAACCCAUUUUUCAAGUAUUUGCUUACUGGUUUUUUCCCAACAACUGUUGUUUAGCUAUUCAGAACAGUAACGUAGCCCCCACCCCCUUGUGCUACAUGUCUCCUUAGCUCCAAACAAAAGAAAUGUAAUGACCAGCACUUUCCUUUGUUUUGUUUUUUUUUUUUGUGUUUGCUUGUAGCAAGUACACGAAGCCUUGCUACAGCUACAUGUGGCAAGACACAGAUGUUGCUCAAGUAAAGACAGUUUCUUUGGCCACUUUGUUCUCCUUAAUAACAAGCAAGUCUCUGCCUUAUGUGUCUA
Molecule: long non-coding RNA, 3028 nt
Organism: Ficedula albicollis (Collared flycatcher)
Lineage: Eukaryota; Metazoa; Chordata; Aves; Passeriformes; Muscicapidae
Source: Ensembl